AUACGACCAUAGGGUGUGGAGAACAGGGCUUCCCGUCCGCUCAGCCGUACUUAAGCCACACGCCGGGAGGUUAGUAGUUGGGUGGGUGACCACCAGCGAAUCCUUCCUGUUGUAU
RNAcentral lists this ribosomal RNA (115 nucleotides) under Aspergillus flavus. The record is from RNAcentral. Lineage: Eukaryota; Fungi; Ascomycota; Eurotiomycetes; Eurotiales; Aspergillaceae.